UAUAGCAGCCAUAUCACCCUGCAACUCACAACUGGCAACCCACUGAAGCUAAGCAGGUGUGAGCCUGGUCAGUACCUGGAUGGGAGACCUCCUGGAAAAAACUAAGGUUGCUGCUGGAA
Lepisosteus oculatus (spotted gar) is the source of this 119-nucleotide ribosomal RNA. The record is from Ensembl. NCBI's taxonomy places the organism in Eukaryota, Metazoa, Chordata, Actinopteri, Semionotiformes, Lepisosteidae.